GGGCCCGCACAAGCGGUGGAGUAUGUGGUUUAAUUCGAUGCAACGCGAAGAACCUUACCAGGGUUUGACAUCCUGCGAAUCUCUUGGAAACGAGAGAGUGCCUUCGGGAACGCAGUGACAGGUGGUGCAUGGCUGUCGUCAGCUCGUGUCGUGAGAUGUUGGGUUAAGUCCCGCAACGAGCGCAACCCACGUCUUUAGUUACCAGCACGUAAUGGUGGGGACUCUAGGAAGACUGCCGGCGUAAGCCGCGAGGAAGGUGGGGAUGACGUCAAAUCAUCAUGGCCUUUAUGCCCAGGGCUACACACGUGCUACAAUGGAGGGUACAGAGGGUCGCGAAGCCGCGAGGUGGAGCCAAUCUCACAAAGCCCUUCCCAGUUCGGAUUGGAGUCUGCAACUCGACUCCAUGAAGUUGGAAUCGCUAGUAAUCGCGCAUC
This 434-nucleotide ribosomal RNA is filed under the name uncultured bacterium. RNAcentral's name for it is "bacterial SSU rRNA". It matches the Rfam family "Bacterial small subunit ribosomal RNA", at positions 917 to 1350 of the family's 1533-position model. The record is from RNAcentral.